Molecule: ribosomal RNA, 491 nt
Filed under: uncultured bacterium
Lineage: Bacteria
Description: partial 16S ribosomal RNA
Rfam family: Bacterial small subunit ribosomal RNA
Source: RNAcentral
GUGAACGCUGGCGGUAGGCCUAACACAUGCAAGUCGAACGGCAGCACAGUAAGAGCUUGCUCUUACGGGUGGCGAGUGGCGGACGGGUGAGGAAUACAUCGGAAUCUACUUUUUCGUGGGGGAUAACGUAGGGAAACUUACGCUAAUACCGCAUACGACCUACGGGUGAAAGCAGGGGACCUUCGGACCUUGCGCGAUUGAAUGAGCCGAUGUCGGAUUAGCUAGUUGGCGGGGUAAAGGCCCACCAAGGCGACGAUCCGUAGCUGGUCUGAGAGGAUGAUCAGCCACACUGGAACUGAGACACGGUCCAGACUCCUACGGGAGGCAGCAGUGGGGAAUAUUGGACAAUGGGCGCAAGCCUGAUCCAGCCAUACCGCGUGGGUGAAGAAGGCCUUCGGGUUGUAAAGCCCUUUUGUUGGGAAAGAAAAGCAGCAGGUUAAUACCCCGCUGUUCUGACGGUACCCAAAGAAUAAGCACCGGCUAACUUCGUG